This 1343-nucleotide ribosomal RNA is filed under the name uncultured bacterium. Its description in RNAcentral is "16S ribosomal RNA". It matches the Rfam family "Bacterial small subunit ribosomal RNA", at positions 28 to 1378 of the family's 1533-position model. The record is from RNAcentral.
GACGAACGCUGGCGGCGUGCUUAACACAUGCAAGUCGAACGGAAAGGCCCUGCUUUUGUGGGGUGCUCGAGUGGCGAACGGGUGAGUAACACGUGAGUAACCUGCCCUUGACUUUGGGAUAACUUCAGGAAACUGGGGCUAAUACCGGAUAGGAGCUCCUGCUGCAUGGUGGGGGUUGGAAAGUUUCGGCGGUUGGGGAUGGACUCGCGGCUUAUCAGCUUGUUGGUGGGGUAGUGGCUUACCAAGGCUUUGACGGGUAGCCGGCCUGAGAGGGUGACCGGCCACAUUGGGACUGAGAUACGGCCCAGACUCCUACGGGAGGCAGCAGUGGGGAAUAUUGCACAAUGGGCGGAAGCCUGAUGCAGCAACGCCGCGUGCGGGAUGACGGCCUUCGGGUUGUAAACCGCUUUCGCCUGUGACGAAGCGUGAGUGACGGUAAUGGGUAAAGAAGCACCGGCUAACUACGUGCCAGCAGCCGCGGUGAUACGUAGGGUGCGAGCGUUGUCCGGAUUUAUUGGGCGUAAAGGGCUCGUAGGUGGUUGAUCGCGUCGGAAGUGUAAUCUUGGGGCUUAACCCUGAGCGUGCUUUCGAUACGGGUUGACUUGAGGAAGGUAGGGGAGAAUGGAAUUCCUGGUGGAGCGGUGGAAUGCGCAGAUAUCAGGAGGAACACCAGUGGCGAAGGCGGUUCUCUGGGCCUUUCCUGACGCUGAGGAGCGAAAGCGUGGGGAGCGAACAGGCUUAGAUACCCUGGUAGUCCACGCUGUAAACGGUGGGUACUAGGUGUGGGGUCCACUCCACGGGUUCCGUGCCGUAGCUAACGCUUUAAGUACCCCGCCUGGGGAGUACGGCCGCAAGGCUAAAACUCAAAGGAAUUGACGGGGCCCCGCACAAGCGGCGGAGCAUGCGGAUUAAUUCGAUGCAACGCGUAGAACCUUACCUGGGUUUGACAUGGAUCGGGAGUGCUCAGAGAUGGGUGUGCCUCUUUUGGGGUCGGUUCACAGGUGGUGCAUGGCUGUCGUCAGCUCGUGUCGUGAGAUGUUGGGUUAAGUCCCGCAACGAGCGCAACCCUUGUUCACUGUUGCCAGCACGUUAUGGUGGGGACUCAGUGGAGACCGCCGGGGUCAACUCGGAGGAAGGUGGGGAUGACGUCAAGUCAUCAUGCCCCUUAUGUCCAGGGCUUCACGCAUGCUACAAUGGCUGGUACAGAGAGUGGCGAGCCUGUGAGGGUGAGCGAAUCUCGGAAAGCCGGUCUCAGUUCGGAUUGGGGUCUGCAACUCGACCUCAUGAAGUCGGAGUCGCUAGUAAUCGCAGAUCAGCAACGCUGCGGUGAAUACGUUCCCGGG